GAGGCCUUUACUGACGCUAAAGCUCGAAGGUGCGGGUAUCGAACAGGAUUAGAUACCCUGGUAGUCCGCACGGUAAACGAUGGAUGCCCGCUGUUUGCGAUAUACUGUGAGCGGCCAAGAGAAAUCGUUAAGCAUCCCACCUGGGGAGUACGCCGGCAACGGUGAAACUCAAAGGAAUUGACGGGGGCCCGCACAAGCGGAGGAACAUGUGGUUUAAUUCGAUGAUACGCGAGGAACCUUACCCGGGCUUGAACUGCAGGAGAAGGAUACAGAGAUGUUGACGCCCUUCGGGGCUCCUGUGGAGGUGCUGCAUGGUUGUCGUCAGCUCGUGCCGUGAGGUGUCGGCUUAAGUGCCAUAACGAGCGCAACCCCUUUCGUUAGUUGCCAUCAGGUGAUGCUGGGCACUCUGGCGAUACUGCCACCGUAAGGUGUGAGGAAGGUGGGGAUGACGUCAAAUCAGCACGGCCCUUACGUCCGGGGCUACACACGUGUUACAAUGGGUGGUACAGAGAGUGGGUCGUCUGCAAAUGCGAUCAAAUCCUAAAAGCCAUCCUCAGUUCGGAUUGGGGUCUGCAACCCGACCCCAUGAAGCUGGAUUCGC
RNAcentral lists this ribosomal RNA (601 nucleotides) under uncultured bacterium. RNAcentral describes it as "bacterial SSU rRNA". It matches the Rfam family "Bacterial small subunit ribosomal RNA", at positions 730 to 1335 of the family's 1533-position model. The record is from RNAcentral.